AAUCAACGCUGGCGGCGUGCCUCAGACAUGCAAGUCGAACGCGAAAGGCCCCUUCGGGGGCCGAGUAGAGUGGCGUCCGGGUGAGUAACACGUGGGUAAUCUACCUUCGGGUGGGGAAUAACGACCGGAAACGGUCGCUAAUACCGCAUAAUGCAGCGGCACCUAAUGGUGACAGUUGUUAAAGCGGGGGAUCGCAAGACCUCGCGCCUGAAGAGGAGCCCGCGGCGGAUUAGCUAGNGGUGGGGUAAAAGCCUACCAAGGCGACGAUCCUUAGCUGGUCUGAGAGGAUGAUCAGCCACACUGGGACUGAGACACGGCCCCAGACUCCUACGGGAGGCAGCAGUGGGGAAUAUUGGACAAUGGGCGAAAGCCUGAUCCAGCAAUGCCGCGUGAGUGAUGAAGGCCUUAGGGUUGUAAAGCUCUUUUACCCCGGGUAUGAUAAUGACAGUACCGGGAGAAUAAGCUCCGGCUAACUCCGUGCCAGCCGCCGC
Molecule: ribosomal RNA, 491 nt
Filed under: uncultured bacterium
Lineage: Bacteria
Description: bacterial SSU rRNA
Rfam family: Bacterial small subunit ribosomal RNA
Source: RNAcentral